Molecule: ribosomal RNA, 493 nt
Filed under: uncultured bacterium
Lineage: Bacteria
Description: bacterial SSU rRNA
Rfam family: Bacterial small subunit ribosomal RNA
Source: RNAcentral
CGACUGGCGGCAGGCCUAACACAUGCAAGUCGCACGAGAAAGGGAGCAAUCCCCGGUACAGUGGCGCACGGGUGAGUAACACGUAGAUGACCUUCCCUGGAGUGGUGGAUAACCUGCCGAAAGGCGGGCUAAUACAGCAUGGGACCACAUGGUUUUGACCGAGUGGUGAAAGCGGGCCUCUGUUCACAAGCUCGCGCUCUGGGAUGGGUCUGCGUCCUAUCAGCUAGUUGGUGAGGUAAUGGCUCACCAAGGCAUCGACGGGUAGCUGGUCUGAGAGGAUGACCAGCCACACUGGGACUGAGACACGGCCCAGACUCCUACGGGAGGCAGCAGUGGGGAAUUUUGGACAAUGGGCGCAAGCCUGAUCCAGCAAUGCCGCGUGCAGGACGAAGGCCUUCGGGUUGUAAACUGCUUUUGUACGGAACGAAAAGCCUUCUUCUAAUACAGGAGGGUCAUGACGGUACCGUAAGAAUAAGCACCGGCUAACUACGUG